Molecule: ribosomal RNA, 374 nt
Filed under: uncultured prokaryote
Description: bacterial SSU rRNA
Rfam family: Bacterial small subunit ribosomal RNA
Source: RNAcentral
AACGUAGGAGGCGAGCGUUAUCCGGAUUUACUGGGCGUAAAGGGCAAGUAGGCGGUAGCUCAAGUUGGAUGUGACAUCUCCCGGCUUAACUGGGAGGGUGCGUACAAUACUAGGUUACUAGAGGGCAGAAGAGGAGAGUGGAACUCCUAGUGUAGCGGUGGAAUGCUCAGAUACUAGGAAGAACACCAGUGGCGAAGGCGACUCUCUGGUCUGUACCUGACGCUGAGAGGCGAAAGCUAGGGGAGCGAACGGGCUUAGAUACCCCGGUAGUCCUAGCUGUAAACGUUGGAUACUGGGUAUUGGGGGCGAAAAAACCUUCAGUGCCGAAGCAAACGCGUUAAGUAUCCCGCCUGGGGACUACGGCCGCAAGGUUA